CAAUAGCGUAUAUUAAGGUUGUUGCAGUUAAAAAGCUCGUAGUUGGAUUUCGGGGCAGCCUGGCUGGUCCGCCGCAAGGCGAGUACUGGUCAGCCGCCCUUCCUCUCGAAAGCCCCGACUGCUCUUCGUUGCAGUGGUCGGGUAGUUCGGGACGUUUACUUUGAAAAAAUUAGAGUGUUCAAGGCAGGCCUACGCCUGAAUACAUUAGCAUGGAAUAAUGGAAGAGGACCUCGGUCCUAUUUUGUUGGUUUCCAGGGCCGAAGUAAUGAUUAAGAGGGACAGUUGGGGGCAUUCGUAUUUAAUUGUCAGAGGUGAAAUUCUCGGAUUUAUGAAAGACGAACAACUGCGAAAGCAUUUGCCAAGGAUGUUUUCAUUAA
This 377-nucleotide ribosomal RNA is filed under the name uncultured eukaryote. RNAcentral's name for it is "partial 18S ribosomal RNA". It matches the Rfam family "Eukaryotic small subunit ribosomal RNA", at positions 592 to 976 of the family's 1831-position model. The record is from RNAcentral.